This 253-nucleotide ribosomal RNA is filed under the name uncultured bacterium. RNAcentral's name for it is "partial 16S ribosomal RNA". It matches the Rfam family "Bacterial small subunit ribosomal RNA", at positions 524 to 776 of the family's 1533-position model. The record is from RNAcentral.
UACGUAGGGGCCUAGCGUUGUUCGGAAUUACUGGGCGUAAAGCGCACGUAGGCGGCUUUCUAAGUCGGGGGUGAAAUCCUGGAGCUCAACUCCAGAACUGCCUUCGAUACUGGAAAGCUCGAGUCCGGGAGAGGUGAGUGGAACUGCGAGUGUAGAGGUGAAAUUCGUAGAUAUUCGCAAGAACACCAGUGGCGAAGGCGGCUCACUGGCCCGGUACUGACGCUGAGGUGCGAAAGCGUGGGGAGCAAACAGG